Molecule: ribosomal RNA, 498 nt
Filed under: uncultured bacterium
Lineage: Bacteria
Description: bacterial SSU rRNA
Rfam family: Bacterial small subunit ribosomal RNA
Source: RNAcentral
UUAUGGCUCAGGAUGAACGCUAGCGACAGGCCUAACACAUGCAAGUCGAGCGGCAGCACCGUCGGGUGGCGAGCGGCGCACGGGUGAGUAACGCGUAUGUAACCUGCCCUUAAGUGGGGGAUAGCCCGGUGAAAACCGGAUUAAUACCGCAUAAUACGGGUUGAGAGCAUUUUCAACUUGUUAAAGAUUUAUUGCUUAAGGAUGGACAUGCGUCCGAUUAGCUUGUUGGCGGGGUAACGGCCCACCAAGGCGACGAUCGGUAGGGGUUCUGAGAGGAAGGUCCCCCACAUUGGUACUGAGACACGGACCAAACUCCUACGGGAGGCAGCAGUGAGGAAUAUUGGUCAAUGGGCGGAAGCCUGAACCAGCCAAGUUGCGUGAAGGAAAGAAGGUAUUAUGUAUUGUAAACUUCUUUAGCUGUGGAGUAAUAAGGGAAUCGUGAUUCCCGAUGCAAGUACACAGAGAAUAAGGAUCGGCUAACUCCGUGCCAGCAGCCGC